RNAcentral lists this ribosomal RNA (433 nucleotides) under uncultured bacterium. RNAcentral's name for it is "partial 16S ribosomal RNA". It matches the Rfam family "Bacterial small subunit ribosomal RNA", at positions 29 to 507 of the family's 1533-position model. The record is from RNAcentral.
AACGAACGCUGGCGGCAUGCCUAACACAUGCAAGUCGAACGAGACCUUCGGGUCUAGUGGCGCACGGGUGCGUAACGCGUGGGAACCUGCCUUUAGGUUCGGAAUAACUCAGAGAAAUUUGAGCUAAUACCGGAUGAUGUCUUCGGACCAAAGAUUUAUCGCCUUUGGAUGGGCCCGCGUUGGAUUAGCUCGUUGGUGGGGUAAAGGCCUACCACGGCGACGAUCCAUAGCUGGUCUGAGAGGAUGAUCAGCCACACUGGGACUGAGACACGGCCCAGACUCCUACGGGAGGGAGGAGUGGGGAAUAGUGGACAAUGGGCGGAAGGAUGAACCAGCAAUGACGCGUGAGUGAUGAAGGCCGUAGGGUUGUAAAGCGCUUUUAACCGAGAUGAUAAUGACAGUAUCGGGAGAAUAAGCUCCGGCUAACUCCGUG